CCUACGGGGGGCAGCAGUGAGGAAUAUUGGUCAAUGGACGAGAGUCUGAACCAGCCAAGUAGCGUGAAGGAUGACUGCCCUAUGGGUUGUAAACUUCUUUUAUAUGGGAAUAAAAUGUUCCACGUGUGGGAUUUUGUAUGUACCAUAUGAAUAAGGAUCGGCUAACUCCGUGCCAGCAGCCGCGGUAAUACGGAGGAUCCGAGCGUUAUCCGGAUUUAUUGGGUUUAAAGGGAGCGUAGGUGGAGUGUUAAGUCAGUUGUGAAAGUUUGCGGCUCAACCGUAAAAGUGCAGUUGAAACUGGCAGUCUUGAGUACAGUAGAGGUGGGCGGAAUUCGUGGUGUAGCGGUGAAAUGCUUAGAUAUCACGAAGAACUCCGAUUGCGAAGGCAGUUCACUGGACUGCAACUGACACUGAGGCUCGAAAGUGUGGGUAUCAAACAGGAUUAGAUACCCCAGUAGUC
This 460-nucleotide ribosomal RNA is filed under the name uncultured bacterium. RNAcentral describes it as "partial 16S ribosomal RNA". It matches the Rfam family "Bacterial small subunit ribosomal RNA", at positions 338 to 795 of the family's 1533-position model. The record is from RNAcentral.